This 75-nucleotide transfer RNA is filed under the name Podarcis lilfordi (Lilford's wall lizard). Its description in RNAcentral is "tRNA.Ile". Lineage: Eukaryota; Metazoa; Chordata; Lepidosauria; Squamata; Lacertidae. The record is from RNAcentral.
GUCAUCUCUAGCUCAGUUGGUUGGAGGAUGGUGCUGAUAAUGCCAAGGUCACAGGUUUGAUCCCUGAAUGAGACA